RNAcentral lists this ribosomal RNA (429 nucleotides) under Gemmatimonadota bacterium. RNAcentral's name for it is "Gemmatimonadetes bacterium partial 16S ribosomal RNA". It matches the Rfam family "Bacterial small subunit ribosomal RNA", at positions 355 to 776 of the family's 1533-position model. The record is from RNAcentral. Lineage: Bacteria; Pseudomonadati; Gemmatimonadota.
UAGGGAAUCUUCGGCAAUGGACGAAAGUCUGACCGAGCAACGCCGCGUGAGUGAAGAAGGUUUUCGGAUCGUAAAACUCUGUUGUUAGAGAAGAACAAGGACGUUAGUAACUGAACGUCCCCUGACGGUAUCUAACCAGAAAGCCACGGCUAACUACGUGCCAGCAGCCGCGGUAAUACGUAGGUGGCAAGCGUUGUCCGGAUUGAUUGGGCGUAAAGCGAGCGCAGGCGGUUUCUUAAGUCUGAUGUGAAAGCCCCCGGCUCAACCGGGGAGGGUCAUUGGAAACUGGGAGACUUGAGUGCAGAAGAGGAGAGUGGAAUUCCAGGUGUAGCGGUGAAAUGCGUAGAUAUAUGGAGGAACACCAGUGGCGAAGGCGGCUCUCUGGUCUGUAACUGACGCUGAGGCUCGAAAGCGUGGGGAGCAAACAGG